UGCGACUGAACCGGGAGGAGCCCAGCGCAUAACCUGACGUCGUGACCCGGCGUCAGGGGUGUUGCGUUUCGGAGGGUCCGGCACGCAGUCUCUCACCGCCUAAGUUAUGCUUGAAAGCGGCCACUACCCAUGGAGGGUGACAGGCCCGUGUGGCGGAGCCCGCGAGGGUACACGAGAGAUUGUCGGAAAGGCCUCUCCGUAGAGUCGGGUUGCUUGAAAUGCAGCCCUAAGCAGGUGGUAAACUCCAUCUAAGGCUAAAUAUGACCACGAGACCGAUAGACGAACAAGUACCGUGGAGGAAGUUAGAAAAGUAACUUAGAAGAGAGAGUUACAAGAGUACGUAGAACGUAGUAGACGAC
This 359-nucleotide ribosomal RNA is filed under the name Bathynectes longispina. Its description in RNAcentral is "eukaryotic LSU rRNA". It matches the Rfam family "Eukaryotic large subunit ribosomal RNA", at positions 88 to 417 of the family's 3401-position model. The record is from RNAcentral. Lineage: Eukaryota; Metazoa; Arthropoda; Malacostraca; Decapoda; Polybiidae.